This 253-nucleotide ribosomal RNA is filed under the name uncultured bacterium. Its description in RNAcentral is "partial 16S ribosomal RNA". It matches the Rfam family "Bacterial small subunit ribosomal RNA", at positions 524 to 776 of the family's 1533-position model. The record is from RNAcentral.
CACGUAGGGCGCAAGCGUUGUCCGGAAUUAUUGGGCGUAAAGAGCUCGUAGGCGGUCUGUUACGUCUGCUGUGAAAACCCAGGGCUUAACCCUGGGCUUGCAGUGGAUACGGGCAGACUAGAGGCAGGUAGGGGAGAAUGGAAUUCCCGGUGUAGCGGUGAAAUGCGCAGAUAUCGGGAGGAACACCAAUGGCGAAGGCAGCUCGCUGGGACGGUACUGACGCUGAGGCGCGAAAGCGUGGGGAGCAAACAGG